AUUGAACGCUGGCGGCAGGCUUAACACAUGCAAGUCGAGCGGAGAGAGGUAGCUUGCUACUGAUCUUAGCGGCGGACGGGUGAGUAAUGCUUAGGAAUCUGCCUAUUAGUGGGGGACAACAUUUCGAAAGGAAUGCUAAUACCGCAUACGUCCUACGGGAGAAAGCAGGGGAUCUUCGGACCUUGCGCUAAUAGAUGAGCCUAAGUCGGAUUAGCUAGUUGGUGGGGUAAAGGCCUACCAAGGCGACGAUCUGUAGCGGGUCUGAGAGGAUGAUCCGCCACACUGGGACUGAGACACGGCCCAGACUCCUACGGGAGGCAGCAGUGGGGAAUAUUGGACAAUGGGCGGAAGCCUGAUCCAGCCAUGCCGCGUGUGAAGAAGGCCUUAUGGUUGUAAAGCACUUUAAGCGAGGAGGAGGCUACUUUAGUUAAUACCUAGAGAUAGUGGACGUUACUCGCAGAAUAAGCACCGGCUAACUCUGUGCCAGCAGCCGCCGUAA
Molecule: ribosomal RNA, 499 nt
Filed under: uncultured bacterium
Lineage: Bacteria
Description: partial 16S ribosomal RNA
Rfam family: Bacterial small subunit ribosomal RNA
Source: RNAcentral